This 9340-nucleotide long non-coding RNA is filed under the name Eutrema salsugineum. RNAcentral describes it as "long non-coding RNA (ESAL_LNC000460)". The stretch from base 8778 to 8850 matches the Rfam family "tRNA". The record is from RNAcentral. Lineage: Eukaryota; Viridiplantae; Streptophyta; Magnoliopsida; Brassicales; Brassicaceae.
GACAACACUGUCGUGGAUCCUCGACUUCUGGUUCUGUGCAACACAUUCUGAUAUCCACAUCAGGUUCCUGAUCUCCUGCUCCCUCAACCUCAUAUACGCAAAGAAUACCGCGUAAUGAAACUGCAAAACUCAGGUUUAAUCAACCAUCAUUAGCAUUAAACAUAAACUGACAGAAAGUUACAAACAAGACGCGUUAGGCAAUCGGACUCUAAUGUAUUAGACUCUGAACUUUUGGAGUUUCUAUGGAAACAAACCUGCUGCUCAAAGGCUAAGCAAAGCCUUCUGACUUCUUCUUCAUAAAACGCCUUGUCGAGCAUCUGGCUCUCUCCAUAAGACAUCUUGGAGAAUAUUGCUUGGUACGGAGGGUAUUUCUCCAUAACACCACGAACCUAUCAGUGAACAAUAAUGGGAUUCAUUGAGCAAUAUUUGUAGCACAACAUAUAUAUUUACAAUAUAUUAGCUUGCGGAUUUACCUGAUCUAUGUCUUCACAGAUAGCAAGCUCCUCGUGGCCAUAUGGAUAACUGAAGAAGCAAAAAUAAAAACCAUGGUGAGAAAAGGCUAGUUCAGAGUUUUAUGCAACCAUUGAAUGGAAUGAUCGUUUGUCUGUAGAAUGCUUACAGGAGACCAAAGUUAGAGUACAGUUUCUUCCUGUCUUCUCUUGUGAGCUCAGUGCCAAUGCUGCAUAGAAAAGGAAACCCAGUUUCAGUGCCUAUAUGAACAAAGCAACACAACAAUGGUAACAUCUUGUGGUUUCAUGCACGAUGACAACCGUAGAAUUAAUUACCUAUUGAUGGUGAUAUUCACUGCUCUUCUGUCGGCUUCAAAGGCCAGAAGGUCAGACAUUAUCUCUGAUGUUGCCCCACCAAGUUUCUACUUCGGAUACAUAGCGAAAAACAGGUUAAGUAUUAUUGGCAGAUUCUGAAUUUUAGUAAAAAUAUAUAGGAGCCGACUAGCACCUGACAGAACUUGUAGAAGUCCUCAAGGUAUGCUUUGUAGAGGGUAUUCCUCAUAAUCUCAAUGUUCAUGUCAUCCAAAUCCUGAAAGAAACAAGUAUAUUGUGAUAUGAAAAUCAUAAUUUUCCAAUGUAUCCGCUAACCAGAAACUAAUGGCACAAGGUCAAAAAAAAAAAAAAAGAAUUACAAAAGUAAAUAUUUCAGCUAUGCACCUCUGAUGUUAAGCAUUCAGAAAAAUAUGGAGCCAGAGGAGUGUCCACAAGCACCAACCUAUAGAGCUCCCUCAUGUUCUGAGCAACUGCUAGUGUAGCAAUACUGGAAAAGAGGAAUCAUAAGCAAAAACAUAAAAAAAGGAAAAUAAAAAGGGUAUAAAGAAGCUGCGGGAAGAGUUAUAGAACAUGCAAAGGUCAAUUCAAGUACCUGUCAAACAUGCCUAAAGGGUGACAUUUCUCGAUCAACUCUUGAACAUCUCUCUCGUGCAGGGUUCCAGUAACAAUCAGCACGACAUUGUCAAUCAUAUGGCCGUAUCUGCAUUAUAAUAUAAAGAAAAACGAACCGAUUAUCUCAAAGGCCAGCGUCUUAUUUUGAUAGAUCAUAUACUAAACUAAUUCCAGGGAAGAAACAAGUAACAAUAUAAGCUAGCAUCUAAACUACAAACAAAAAUGAUCAGAAAUCUUUGCCGUCAACAUGCUGAAACGAAUAACGGUUCCAUUUCACUGUAAUCUCGUAAAAGGUAAACCUUCAGGAAAGCAACAAAUUUUACACACUAUGAUGUACGUUGAGAAGGAUUUUGGCAAAGCUAAAUACCAACAAAAUUACUAGGCUAAAUACCAACAAAAUUACUAGGCCAAAAACAACACUAUAGCACCAUAUUCUGUUGAGCUAAAAUCAUAACUUUAUGGAAAGAUGAGCAAUAUCUUGCUUACCUGAUGUACUCUAAGAAGGUUGACAUAGGCUCAGUUGCCUGGCAAAGCAUAUGCUUAUAAUCAUCAACAAGCUUGAGCGUACACUUCUCCACAAUUGUGGUGGUAUGCAGAGGUGACGGUUCUGCAGCCAAGGAUUGGAAAAUCUUAGGAUAAAGAAUAAUUUUUUAACAAUGAUGAAAUGAAACAGAGAUUCAGAUAAUAUCAGAACUAACAAUUGUGCAGAUUUCAAACAGAUGGACAGUUGUCUUUACAAAAAAUCAAGGUACUGAGAGACUCAAGAAAUGACUGUCUCGUAUAAAACAUCAGAUUUCAGAUCCAUUUAUGAAGAUAAAUGGCAUUCAAAUUAAAACUGCCGCUGGAAACCAAAUUCACAUUGGUCAACGGGAAAUUUCACCAAUUCCCACAUCAAAUAGGAGAAUGAAAUCAUUUCAAAGACUAAAACCCAAAACCCAUAUGCAAUGAAACAAAAUCAAAGACAACUAAUCAAAUUCAUUGGCCAUCACAGAUUGGCAGAGCGAUCAUAUGCGGAAGACGCACCGUUUUGGAGGUAAGAGCCGUAUUUGGUAGCAGAGAGGUGCAUCUUGAUGUCGUCAAGGUUUUCACACUGGCACAGAUUGUUGUAAUCGGCGGUGGUGAGAAGCCCAGCACGGUGGCCCCUCACGAUCGCCUCCAAGUACCCGCCAUGGAUGUUGAACGUAAGCGCUUCGAAUCCGUACAUCCUUCUCUCCUUAACCUUCCGGAGAAUUACAGGAUAUUCAGAUCUCAAAGAACUUCUCGGGAGAUCUGAAGAAAAAAGAAAUUGAAGCAGAGAUCGACGCGAAGAAGAUAGCUGUGAAAUUGAUUGAUUAGUUUGCGAACUCGUCCGUGGCACGUUGAAACUACGAUUUUAUCCUUAGCACCGGUCUGCUAAAUCCAAGAAGAUAGUAGCUUUUUAAACCGUUCUAUUAAACCGAAGAAUGUAGCCUGCAAAAUUGAGAUUCCGAUAUUGUUUUUGGGUCUCGGCUUCAGAUGAACCAAAUGAUCAAUGGUGUUUUCGCCUUUUUUGGGUAAACUCUUGAAAAAUAGUCUACACUUGAAUAACUCGAAGUCUAUGAACUUUUUUACAAAUUUAAAAUUGAUUGCCAAUCAAAUAUAGCAUUUCGAGGAUUACAGUAGUUUACUGGAUGCAAAAUAUGGCAACAAAAAAAGACGAAUAAAUAGGAGAGAUUCUUAUUGGGAAAUUUUCAUACAUGCACUCUCACUCAGACAUAACAAUGAAUGUAAAACUGCAGAUUGUACAUGCAGAUUUCUCUGGUAAAAAAGGAGCAAUGAAGAAACCACCAACAACAAAAUUGGUUCUUUCUUCGUACUCUCCAAUAUUAAGACAUUACACUUCUAUGUGUUUCAACACUUCUUGCCAGACUCAGAACAUGUAAACGACACUGUCGUGGAUCCUCGACUUCUGGUUCUGUGCAACACACUCGGAUAUCCACAUCAGAUUCCUGAUCUCCUGCUCUCUCAACCUCAUAUACGCAAAGAAUACCGCAUAAUGGAACUGCAAACUCAGGUUUAAACAGCCACUGUUAGUCUUAGACAUGGGUCUAGAAACAGCUAUAACAACACAUCAUGUUAGGGGAAAGGGGAAACAAACCUGCUGCUCAAAGGCUAAGCAAAGCCUUCUGACUUCUUCUUCAUAAAACGCCUUGUCGAGCAUCUGGCUCUCUCCAUAAGACAUCUUGGAGAAUAUUGCUUGAUACGGAGGGUAUUUCUCCAUAACACCACGAACCUAUCAGUGAAUGAUAAUGAGAUUCAUUGAGCCAUAUUUUAAAACUUUAAUAUGUUUAUAAUAUAUCAGCUUGCGGAUCUAGCUACCUGAUCUAUAUCCUCGCAAAUAGCAAGCUCCUCGUGACCAUAUGGAUAGCUGUUAAAAGAAAUAUCAAAACCAUGGUGAUGGAAACCACUUUAGAAUAUUAUGCAAUCACUGAAUGGAAUUAUCAUUUGACUGUGGAAUUCUUCUUACAGGAGACCAAAGUUAGAGUACAGUUUCUUCCUGUCUUCUCUUGUGAGCUCAGUGCCAAUGCUGCACAGAAAAGAAAACCCAGUUUCAGUGCCAAUAUGAACAAAGCAACACUAUCAUGCGGAAGAUAUACAGCAGUAGUUACUAACCUAUUGAUGGUGAUAUUCACAGCUCUUCUGUCAGCUUCGAAGGCCAAAAGGUCAGACAUUAUCUCUGCUGUUGCCCCACCAAGUUUCUGUUUUGGAUACCCGACAAAAAGAUGGGGUUAGCUAGUAUAGGUGGAUUCUGAAUUUUUUUCAGAAAGUUUAGGAGUCGACUAGCACCUGACAGAACUUGUAAAAAUCCUCAAGGUAUGCUUUGUAGAGGGUAUUCCUCAUAAUCUCAAUGUUCAUGUCAUCAAGAUCCUACAAAAAAUAAACACUAUAAGAUUUGUACGUGAUAUAACAAUGGCACAAAACUGAAAACAAAAAACUACAAAUGAUAAAAAGUUUCAGUUUUGUACCUCCGAGGUUAAACAUUCAGAAAAGUACGGAGCAAGAGGAGUGUCCACAAGCACCAACCUGUAGAGUUCCCGCAUGUUCUGAGCAACUGCUAGUGUAGCAAUACUGGAAAACAGAAAGCAAUGAGAAAAACAUAAAGGUGAAAAAGAAAAGCGGUCUGAAGCAGCUACGGGAUGAGGUCUAGAAGAUGCAAAAGGUCGAUUCGAGUACCUGUCAAACAUGCCUAAAGGGUGACAUUUCUCGAUCAAUUCUUGAACAUCUCUCUCGUGCAGGGUUCCAGUAACAAUCAACACGACAUUGUCAAUCAUGUGGCCAUAUCUGCAUUACAAUAGUAAAAGAACAAACCCAAAAUCUCAAAGGGCAGCUAGCAUUUGAAGAAAAACAGAAUGACCAUAAUCUUUCCGUUAAACAUAGGGAAACGAAUAAUUGCUCAGUUUUGUUGCAGUCUCGGCAAAGGUAAAACUUUUAGGGAAGCAACAAUUCUUACAUUAUGAUGUACAUUGAGAAGGAUUUUGGCAACAAACUUACCUACCUUAAUUCUGGAAACUAAAAGAUGGGCCACCAAAGACAACAAUGUAGCAACCAUCCCCUAUUGAUCUAGAAUCAUGAUUUUACGGAAAAUGAGGAAUGCCUCGCUAACCUGAUGUACUCUAAGAAGGUUGACAUAGGCUCAGUUGCUUGGCAAAGCAUAUGCUUGUAAUCAUCAACAAGCUUGAGAGUGCACUUCUCCACAAUUGUGGUGGUAUGCAGAGGUGACGGUUCUGCAGCCAAGGAUAAAGAACAGUUUUUUUUUUACAAUAAUGAAGCAGAUUCAGAUACAAGGACUAACAAUUUUCUUAACAAGAAAUCGAGAAAUUGAGAGUCACUUUCUCGUCUAAAACAUCAGAUGUCAGAUCCAUUUAUGUAGAUGAAGGACAUUUAAAUCAUAACUACCAUCGGAAACCAAUUUCACAUCAGUCAUGACUCAUGGGGAAAUUUCACUAAUUCCCACAUCAAAUUAAGGACUGAUAUUUUUAAAUGCUUAAAACCCAUGAAACAAAAUCAAAGUCAAAUAAUCAAAUUCUUUACACAAAUGAGUCAAAUUUGGAGACAUCACGGAUCAUAUGUGAAAGACGCACCGUUUUGGAGGUACGAGCCGUAUUUGGUGGCGGAGAGGUGCAUCUUGAUGUCGUCAAGGUUUUCACACUGGCACAGAUUGUUGUAAUCGGCGGUGGUGAGAAGCCCAGCACGGUGGCCCCUCACGAUCGCCUCCAAGUAUCCGCCAUGGAUGUUGAAUGUAAGCGCCUCGAAUCCGUACAUCCUUCAAUUCUUUCCCCUUCCGGAGAUAUUCAGAUCUCAAAGAUUUUCGGGAAGAUCUGAAGAAAAAAAUUGAAGCAGAGCCAGAGAUCGACGCGAAGAAGAUAGCUUUGAAUGUGAUUUGAUUUGUUUGCAAUCUCGUCCGUGGCAGAUUGAACUACGGUAUUAUCCUUUAACCGGUCUGCUAAAUCGAAGACGCACACGCGCGUAAUUACUAAACCGAUAAAUGUACCGAACGAGAAAACCUUCCUUCAGGUUAGUUUUGGUUUAGUUUAUCGGUUUACCUUUUAAACUCUUUGGGGUGGACAUUAUACAGUAUUUGCAUUUACAUUCUAUCUAAAACUGUCAUUGACUAACAUAACACUCAUCUCAAGUCUCAACCUAAAUUUCUCUUCUUUUUGUGUUAACUUAAACAUUAAACCAUUUUCUGUGAAAGCACGAACUGGCAAGUGUAGAGUACUCCUUGUGAAUAAAACUCAAGAGUGCUACAGAUGGUCUUAUUAAACAUUUUUGAUAGUAACAUAUAGCAAAUAAAAAAGAAUUCGAAAGCUGUUGAUCACUUUCACAAACCGAAAAAUAUACCGAGUUAAAAAGAGGGUGGCUUCUCUAAAAGUUUCAAUUUUUCUACUGGAAUGGAGCGGGAAUGCCUUGGUUUCGGUUGACAAUAGCCAUAGCAAGAUACCUCGUGCCCAUUCCAAUCGGAGUCUGUUCAUCAGGUCCUUCCCAGAAAGGUGCUUCACCAUCUCCAACAAGCCGCCAGUAUCCCGACCUCAAGGACUCAGCUUGCUCAUCAUCGCAGUUUUGUAGCAGCGCAUCAACUCUGAAGUUUAUUCCAAGCGAACCCAAGAACUGAGACUGAGUCAUAGGUCCAUGGACUGUGACAUUCUCUGCACAAUACACACGUUUGCAUCUGGUAAGUAAGUUAACUCUUCAUAUUACAAUGACGAGCAGUGAGUAUAGGAAUGAAACCUGAAGCUUCCUCAGCGGAGUGUUUUAUUGAAGGAAAAUCGACAUAAGCACUUAGAUCUGCAGACCCUGGAUCAUCCAGUAUGUUGACAAACUUGUGUUUUCUAAUAGCCUUAGCCAUAAUGAAAAAAAAAAGAUGGUUUAAUGCGAAGACAUUUUAAACAUGAUCAGAACAUUUUUAGGCCACAAACCUGAAGACUGUCUGAAAUGAUUCCAUCCAUCCCGUAAUCGAUUAUAAGUGCACCACCUCCAUCAGAACCUAUUCUCUUGGCCAUUUCUUGUGUCAAAUCCAUUGAUUUCGGGCUGAUCUCGACAUGCUCAAGUUUCUCCCUUUCUUCAGGUGUAGCCCACGUGCAACGUUUCAUGAGAUACAAGGCUGCAGGUGUAGGCUGCGGGGAUAGAACAAAGCGGAACCUAAACCAACAACGUAUCGAUCAAUUCUAGAGUUUUCUUUGCAAAUCCCACUACUGAGAUAUAUCCUUUUUCUUUGAAUUCCUUAAUACUUACUGUGAAUCUUGUCCUACAUCAACCAUUUUCUCACACCAGCCACGGGAAGAUUUCUGCAUAAAUUGGUCCACAUAAGAUACACAUCAAUUACUAAAAGAAGAAGACUAUAUUCCCAGUUUAACCCACACUUACCUGAAAUUGAUGAACUGGAAGAGCAUCAUAAAACUCAUGAGCUAUGAUUAUUGUUGGUACUGCCACGGAAGCAAAGAUGAAAAAGAUAUUUCAUGAGAAAAGAUGCAGAGUAUCAUUGUUUUGAAUGCUUAAGAUAUAUUUUAGUACGUUGAAUUUGGCUAUAUUAAGACAAAAACAUCAUAAAUAAUCACAAUUAGAGAGGCUUAAAUUCCAAGUAAAUGUAACAAAAUAUGCAUACCUCCUGAUGGUACCUCUUCAAGAGUAGCGUGCCAGUGCACAGGUGUCCCAGCUAGUGCACUAAUCGCUUUCUUCUCUGAAGAACUUUCAUCUGUGCAUUUCAGGUUCUGGUGCUGAAGCUUCUGCAACGCGGGACUGCAUUCCACCAAGUGUAUAUGCAAUGACUCCGUGAAAUUUCUAAACUUUGAUGUACCCUAUAUGUGAAAAGUCCCCAGUUAAGAGCAGUAAGAUCGUUUGGCAUUGGAGGUUUUGGGGACAGAAUUAGAAUUCUUAAGGAUACAGCACAAGAGCUUAAAUACAUACACGAAGGAGAUCGACCAUGAGCGUUCCUCGACCUGGACCUAGCUCAAUGAGAUUAACCCUCUCUGGCCUUCCCAUUUGCUCCCAAAGACACACAGUCCAAACGCCGAUCAUCUAUGAUCACGACACCAAGUGAGAAAAACCAAUCUCAAGCUCGGACAUAGAACCAAACACAAAUGCAUAAAUCCUAAAAAACAAGAAAUGCUAAGUAAUUACCUCGCCGAACAUCUGGCUAACUUCUGGAGAAGUAAUGAAAUCACCUUGAGCUCCAAAUACAUCACGAUUCAUGUAGAAUCCUGCUUUAGGAUUAGUCAAGACUUCCUCCAUGUAUUCCGCCACUGAGAUUGGACCACCCCGAAACUGUGAUGAAUACCAAAUUCACACAUUUGAUUCAAACUUCACACAAAAGCAUCUUUCUAGAAUCACACGAUCAACAAUCACGAGUUUCGAUUUUUUUUCAAAUAUGAACCUCAAAUAUAUGAAUUGAAGAUACCUUGAUAAUGCUCUUGAGGUGCUUGACGAGCUCGGAAUCAGGUGUGGGUUCAUGAGAGUGAUCUGGACUUCCCCAAAACAAUCAGCCCCCAAAUCUGUCAAAUUGAAUCUCACUAUAGAGUUUGGAGUGAAAUAGGUACCAGGAGGAUUGAAGAGAGCAGAACGGUCGACGGAGAUAGUUGUUCCGGCGACGGCACCAGCCUCUUCGACAUGUUCAACGGUGCCGCUCCCUGAGCAAGGUGGCUCCGACGAAGAGGAUAAUGAGGAAAUCGAUGAAAGAGAGGGUUUGGAGAAGAAAGGACUCCCGGAAGAGAGAAGACGGCGUGAGGGUGUUUGCGUCAGUAAUCUUCUCAGCAUCUUCGCAGUUCAAAAUCUGCAGGCUCCGACAUACCCAAGUAAGGUACUGGUCAAGGGUAAAGAAGAAACUUAUUAUUCUAUUAUAAUAAUGUAAUUGUAACUUAUAACAUCAAAGGGGAUGUAGCUCAGAUGGUAGAGCGCUCGCUUAGCAUGCGAGAGGUACGGGGAUCGAUACCCCGCAUCUCCAUAUUUUUUUCAAUAUGAAUGUUUAUCUUCAUUUAGUCAAAUAAUUAAAAACCUAAUCUUUUUGCAACCAUAUUACACGACCAUGAUCCAUCAAAUGAUUUAUCCACUUUCGAUAUUUAUUCAACAUCCUCUAAAAUCUCUAAAGGGAUUUAUAUUUUCACCAAGUUAUAGCAAAAAAAGCAAAGGCAUAUCCGUACAUACAUUACAGGGUACAUAUAUAAGUUUUUACAGACAACAUAGGUUUUUGAUCCUUAAAAGAGCUUUACCCUCUCAACCUUUACAUUUCUACACAUUAAAAAUCAAAAUCUUUAGACCUUGAGGACCAAAGAUAUCUUCCUUGAGUUCCAUCAACUCAAAUAACACAAACAAGGAUCCGAACAUGCUAAACUUGCCAAGCUUCAGUUUCCACAGACCAUCUCUUUUGCUCUGGCUAAAAAGGCUGCAAACGAGAAUACCGUUCUUGAAUCAGAAAGAAUCAAUGCAACAGGAAG